ACUUGAUGGUGUGGGUAUUUACGGAGAAGGUCCCUAAAACGCUCCCAAGUCUCAAAGAAAAUUUCCCCAUCUGUUUAUGUGAAACUUGUGAUUGGCCUUCGCAGCU
Molecule: small nucleolar RNA, 106 nt
Organism: Malania oleifera
Lineage: Eukaryota; Viridiplantae; Streptophyta; Magnoliopsida; Santalales; Ximeniaceae
Source: RefSeq, a predicted model, not a curated record